RNAcentral lists this ribosomal RNA (1268 nucleotides) under Staphylococcus chromogenes. RNAcentral's name for it is "bacterial SSU rRNA". It matches the Rfam family "Bacterial small subunit ribosomal RNA", at positions 1 to 1250 of the family's 1533-position model. The record is from RNAcentral. Lineage: Bacteria; Bacillati; Bacillota; Bacilli; Caryophanales; Staphylococcaceae.
UUUAUGGAGAGUUUGAUCCUGGCUCAGGAUGAACGCUGGCGGCGUGCCUAAUACAUGCAAGUCGAGCGAACUGACGAGGAGCUUGCUCCUUUGACGUUAGCGGCGGACGGGUGAGUAACACGUGGGUAACCUACCUAUAAGACUGGAAUAACUCCGGGAAACCGGGGCUAAUGCCGGAUAACAUAUCGAACCGCAUGGUUCGAUAGUGAAAGACGGUCUUGCUGUCACUUAUAGAUGGACCCGCGCCGUAUUAGCUAGUUGGUGAGGUAACGGCUCACCAAGGCAACGAUACGUAGCCGACCUGAGAGGGUGAUCGGCCACACUGGAACUGAGACACGGUCCAGACUCCUACGGGAGGCAGCAGUAGGGAAUCUUCCGCAAUGGGCGAAAGCCUGACGGAGCAACGCCGCGUGAGUGAUGAAGGUCUUCGGAUCGUAAAGCUCUGUUGUUAGGGAAGAACAAAUGUGUAAGUAACUGUGCACAUCUUGACGGUACCUAACCAGAAAGCCACGGCUAACUACGUGCCAGCAGCCGCGGUAAUACGUAGGUGGCAAGCGUUAUCCGGAAUUAUUGGGCGUAAAGCGCGCGUAGGCGGUUUUUUAAGUCUGAUGUGAAAGCCCACGGCUCAACCGUGGAGGGUCAUUGGAAACUGGAAAACUUGAGUGCAGAAGAGGAAAGUGGAAUUCCAUGUGUAGCGGUGAAAUGCGCAGAGAUAUGGAGGAACACCAGUGGCGAAGGCGGCUUUCUGGUCUGUAACUGACGCUGAUGUGCGAAAGCGUGGGGAUCAAACAGGAUUAGAUACCCUGGUAGUCCACGCCGUAAACGAUGAGUGCUAAGUGUUAGGGGGUUUCCGCCCCUUAGUGCUGCAGCUAACGCAUUAAGCACUCCGCCUGGGGAGUACGGUCGCAAGACUGAAACUCAAAGGAAUUGACGGGGACCCGCACAAGCGGUGGAGCAUGUGGUUUAAUUCGAAGCAACGCGAAGAACCUUACCAAAUCUUGACAUCUUUUGACCACUCUAGAGAUAGAGUUUUCCUCUUCGGAGGACAAAAUGACAGGUGGUGCAUGGUUGUCGUCAGCUCGUGUCGUGAGAUGUUGGGUUAAGUCCCGCAACGAGCGCAACCCUUGAGCUUAGUUGCCAUCAUUAAGUUGGGCACUCUAAGUUGACUGCCGGUGACAAACCGGAGGAAGGUGGGGAUGACGUCAAAUCAUCAUGCCCCUUAUGAUUUGGGCUACACACGUGCUACAAUGGACAAUACAAAGGGCAGC